This 325-nucleotide ribosomal RNA is filed under the name uncultured eukaryote. RNAcentral's name for it is "partial 18S ribosomal RNA". It matches the Rfam family "Eukaryotic small subunit ribosomal RNA", at positions 1470 to 1796 of the family's 1831-position model. The record is from RNAcentral.
CCCCUAGAUGUUCUGGGCCGCACGCGCGCUACACUGAACAGUUCAACAAGUCUUAACCUUGGCCGAUAGGUCUGGGUAAUCUUUGAACGCUGUUCGUGAUUGGGAUAGAUCUUUGCAAUUAUUAAUCUUGAACGAGGAAUUCCUAGUAAACGCGAAUCAUCAGUUCGCAUUGAUUACGUCCCUGCCCUUUGUACACACCGCCCGUCGCACCUACCGAUUGAAUGAUUCGGUGAAAUUCUCGGACUGUGCACAUUAAUCCUUCGGGAUUUUUGAGCGUAGGAAGUUAAGUAAACCUCAUCAUUUAGAGGAAGGUGAAGUCGUANCA